AAAGGGAUUCCCCCAGUAGCGGCGAAAAGGGAUCCCAAAGAAUCCCGCCCUUUGGAGAAAUGUGGCGUAUGGAGGCGGAUUUCGGGAGGUUGGAGGCGACUCAAGUCCCCAUGAAUGGGGCGACCGAAGUGGGUGUGAGUCCCGUUCAGUCGCUCUCCUCUUUCCGAGCACCGCUCUCCCGGGAGUCGGGUUGCUUGAAAGUGCAGCCCAAAGUGGGUGGUAUGCUCCACCUAAGGCUAAAUAUCCCCGAGAGACCGAUAGCAAAAAAGUACCGUGAGGGAAAGUUGAAAAGAACUUUGAAGAGAGAGUUCAAUAGUACGUGAAACCGCUUAGAGGUAAACGGGUGGGCCCUCGAAGUCUGAAGGCAGUUCAACUCGGGCGAUAUCGAACAGUCGGGUUUUGGGUACGCACGUCAACGAGUAGUCGGCGGCUMAUGCCCCUGUGCAUCUUUUCUGUCCAGAGGCCGCGACCGGUUGGUCGACGUUUGGAAGGAGACAGGUGGCCUACCUCGCGGCGAGGUGGGUGUUACAGCAGUAUAGCCGACCGUCGCGACCGGAAACGAGAGCACUUCGCUUGACGUUCCCAUAUUUGUGAUUUCUGAAGUGUUAAGGGWUAAGCUAUUUUGGGAGAUCUCGCUUGGGAGCCAGAAGUCAGCGGUCAGUAGGCCGGGUCCCACCCGACCCGUCUUGAAACACGGACCAAGGAGUCUAACGCGUAUGCAAGUCCGAGGGUGUUAAGCAACCCCGAGGGCAAAAUGAAAGUGACCGUCAACGUUGGGAUCCGGCGGCGCACCAGCCCGUCCGUACCGCUACGUCGGUGGGGCGGAGCAUGAGCAUAUGCUGGACCCGAAAGAUGGUGAACUAUGCCUGGGCACGAAGCCAGAGGAACUCUGGUGGAGGUCCGCAUUCUGAAGUGCAAAUCGAU
RNAcentral lists this ribosomal RNA (924 nucleotides) under Lagynochthonius proximus. Its description in RNAcentral is "eukaryotic LSU rRNA". It matches the Rfam family "Eukaryotic large subunit ribosomal RNA", at positions 68 to 902 of the family's 3401-position model. Lineage: Eukaryota; Metazoa; Arthropoda; Arachnida; Pseudoscorpiones; Chthoniidae. The record is from RNAcentral.